This 253-nucleotide ribosomal RNA is filed under the name uncultured bacterium. Its description in RNAcentral is "partial 16S ribosomal RNA". It matches the Rfam family "Bacterial small subunit ribosomal RNA", at positions 524 to 776 of the family's 1533-position model. The record is from RNAcentral.
UACGGGGGGGGCAAGCGUUGUUCGGAAUUACUGGGCGUAAAGGGCGCGUAGGCGGCCUGCUAAGUCGGACGUGAAAUCCCCCGGCUCAACCGGGGAACUGCGUCCGAUACUGGUGGGCUCGAAUCCGGGAGAGGGAUGUGGAAUUCCAGGUGUAGCGGUGAAAUGCGUAGAUAUCUGGAGGAACACCGGUGGCGAAGGCGGCAUCCUGGACCGGCAUUGACGCUGAGGCGCGAAAGCUAGGGGAGCAAACGGG